UACAGAGGUCCCGAGCUUUGUUCGGAUUCACUGGGCGUAAAGGGUGCGUAGGUGGCAAGGUAAGUUUGAUGUGAAAUCUCCGAGCUUAACUCGGAAAAUGCAUUGAAUACUAUCUGGCUAGAGGUUUGGAGGGGGGACUGGAAUUCUUGGUGUAGCAGUGAAAUGCGUAGAUAUCAAGAGGAACACCAGUGGCGAAGGCGAGUCCCUGGACAACACCUGACACUGAGGCACGAAAGCUAGGGGAGCAAACAGG
RNAcentral lists this ribosomal RNA (253 nucleotides) under uncultured bacterium. RNAcentral describes it as "partial 16S ribosomal RNA". It matches the Rfam family "Bacterial small subunit ribosomal RNA", at positions 524 to 776 of the family's 1533-position model. The record is from RNAcentral.